AUUGAACGCUGGCGGCAGGCCUAACACAUGCAAGUCGAGCGGAUGAAGGGAGCUUGCUCCUGGAUUCAGCGGCGGACGGGUGAGUAAUGCCUAGGAAUCUGCCUGGUAGUGGGGGAUAACGUCCUGAAACGGGCGCUAAUACCGCAUACGUCCUGAGGGAGAAAGUGGGGGAUCUUCGGACCUCACGCUAUCAGAUGAGCCUAGGUCGGAUUAGCUAGUUGGUGGGGUAAAGGCCUACCAAGGCGACGAUCCGUAACUGGUCUGAGAGGAUGAUCAGUCACACUGGAACUGAGACACGGUCCAGACUCCUACGGGAGGCAGCAGUGGGGAAUAUUGGACAAUGGGCGAAAGCAUGAUCCAGCCAUGCCGCGUGUGUGAAGAAGGUCUUCGGAUUGUAAAGCACUUUAAGUGGGGAGGAAGGGCAGUAAGUUAAUACCUUGCUGUUUUGACGUUACCAACAGAAUAAGCACCGGCUAACUUCGUG
RNAcentral lists this ribosomal RNA (484 nucleotides) under uncultured bacterium. RNAcentral's name for it is "partial 16S ribosomal RNA". It matches the Rfam family "Bacterial small subunit ribosomal RNA", at positions 30 to 507 of the family's 1533-position model. The record is from RNAcentral.